ACUGCACUCCAGCCUGGGCGACAGAGUGAGACUCCAUCUCAAAAAAAAAAAAAAAAAGAAAUACCAGGUGAAGCAUAUGCCCUGCAAGCUUAGGGGUGCUACAGUUGACCACUGCAGCAGUAAAGAUGACUGAAGAAUGGCAUGGGAUGGAUCCUUUCGAAUGCACUUGAGCAGCAGUCUCCAAACACAGGGCCACAGAGCCAGAGAAUGUAUUUGUCACUUCCAGCUGAAUCUACCAUGAAAGACUUCUGAAUCCAGGAAAAGAGACUGACUGGGUAACAUGUUAUUCAGGGUCUCCCUCUGUUGUCCAAGGCUGGAGUGUAGUAG
RNAcentral lists this long non-coding RNA (327 nucleotides) under Homo sapiens (human). Its description in RNAcentral is "HSALNT0340760". Lineage: Eukaryota; Metazoa; Chordata; Mammalia; Primates; Hominidae. The record is from RNAcentral.